CGGGGCGUAGCGCAGAUUGGUAGCGCGCAUGGUUCGGGACCAUGAGGCCCCCGGUUCAAGUCCGGGCGCCCCGA
RNAcentral lists this transfer RNA (74 nucleotides) under bacterium. RNAcentral describes it as "tRNA-Pro". It matches the Rfam family "tRNA". Rfam says of the family: Transfer RNA (tRNA) molecules are approximately 80 nucleotides in length. Their secondary structure includes four short double-helical elements and three loops (D, anti-codon, and T loops). RNAcentral also lists the same sequence under 2 other names. The record is from RNAcentral.